UGCUCAACCACUGAGCCAACACUGGUGGGGCUGCCUUCCCCUUUUUAAAGUUAAGUUUUCUUUCCAGUGGAUUGAUCAUGCUUACUGUAAAAGUUUGUUGACCUUUUCUCUUAUGUUGCAGUUAAUGUUUGCUAAAUCUUUAAAUUUUUUGUGUGUACAUAAAAAGAGCCCUUACUCACCAUAGAACAUUUUAGCCUCUUUGCAGGAGAGACCUUUAGAGUUUGAAGGUAGUGUCCAGUGGGAACACUGUGUCUUUGAUGGUGAAUGUCACAGGGGUACGGUUUUUCUCCCUGGAGGGUGACUUUGCUUUCAUCAUGACCCAUCAGACCCGAGUAUCUGGCUCUGCCUAGUCAUGUGCGUGGGUGUGCACUCCUGUCUGGUCCGCCGGGCUUGGGGAGUGAUUGUGACCCUGCCCCGAGAGCCUGCUGGAGAGGGCUGGCCGACUCGCCGGUCCUGCCGUGAGUCCCUCAGGCUGGGGAGGGACGACAGAUGGUUGAGCUAAACUCGGAGCCACCUCUCUACGUCACGAUGAAAAAUGACCAGCCAUCGGUAAGUGGAAAUCAGAGCCCAUGCACGUUUCAAGUCUGACAAACAGGGCGUUGAAACAAACAGGGAGUGAAGAAGGGGAGGAAAUCCUUUCAUAAGUGACCAGCCUGUCUUUGUUGGUACUUUCUGUACUUACUAGUAGGAAAAUUCCUCAUGUACAUAUUUGUUCAUCUGUACAGUCAAUAUGCAUGGACUGUUGGGACUGAGCACUAAUCCUCUGUGCCCUUUAGGAUAUAAAUAACCUCUCUAAAAGCCGAAACUGUGAGGCUGGAUCCCAAUACAGAUGCAGAGUUGCAUUCUGUACUGUAUGAGCAGCAUGAGGCCCUCCCUGCUCACGGCCCUUCAAGGUUGUCUGCCUCCCAUGACUCAUGCGGAGGCCAUGGCAUCUGCAACCCUAGUGGCCUAGGCUUUUGCACCAGUGGUACCCGAUUCAGACAGUCUGUCAGCGGGCUAGCCAGGGAAAGCUACAGAGUGGAAGCAAGUUGGUAGAGGGCAGAAAAGCAGGUGGGCAGAGUAGCUGAGUCCCAGCAGUCAUGGCAUAUGAAUGAAGACUCUUGAACUUGGGCUGCCUAACUAACCCCUGGAAGAUCCCUAUCUUCCUCAUUACCAUUCACAUCCUAUGAUGACACUUGUUUAAGCUGGCCUGCGCAAGGUGCUGUCCAUGGUACUGGAGCACAGCCAAUGUGCAUGAGUCAGAAGGCUUGGCUUUAAAGCCAGCUGCCCCUUCCCAUUGAUGAGUUUUGGGGUGGGGUCCUUGCCCUCUGUAAGCAUCAGUUUUCUUCCCCUAUAAAAUGAGAUAAGAGUACCUGCUUCAGAGUGUUAAUACGUAACAGUUGAGGCCCUUAGCGUAGUGCCUGGUACAUAGUAUGUGCUCAAAAAAGAUUAGCCGCUGCUAUUAUUAUUACUAUUUUUAUUGUCAUCACUCAAAGGGAACUAAUGACUAUAUUUCCCUAUGCUGAGAGAGUAGGAAGCCCCAGGGCCAUCAUUAUUCAGAUCUUGACCUCUGCUAGGAUUAUGUUGGGCCUUUAACCAGUGACAUUAAAUCAUACAAGUUCUUCUUUCCUAUCCUUAGCUAAACCCCUUGAACUCUGACUGUUGGUCUGCUCUUUGUCUACAAACAUGAGGCUGUUUUCGACUGCUCUUGUUUGAGAAACAUUAGCACACAAAGGGAGCCCCCACAUCCCAUGAGCCUCAGACUACUGAGGGAGUUGUCUUCCUUAAGUACAUAGGCGCUUUAAAUGUCUCUCUGCAACCAAUUAUAAAAAAGACAGGGAUUUUAAUGAUGUUCUUCCGUAUUUUCCCAGAUAACAGUGGUGGUUCACUGAAGUAUGCAAACUGACCAUAUCUCGUUUUCCCUUGGUGAGCAGGCUCUAGGUUCUCUCCUGCUGGCGCCUGGACCAGGACAAGAAGGAAACAUUAGGUGAAAGAGAGCCCAGCUGACGAGCUGCCUAGGAAGACAGGAAGCCCAGACCCACACCUCAGCAAUCUACCGGCCGCCCCAUCCGCGUGGAGGGGGAGCCACACCCACCACAUCCGGCAUCACAGCUGUCCCUCCAAGUUCAGAUAACCCACGUCCGCAGCCCAACAUGGGGCCUUCUUCAAGGAGAAGUCCGAACUUUAAUGUGAAAUCUUUCAUAAGAAAAGUAUGGGUACCAAUUUUUUUUAAAUCCGGGAGUGGGUAUCAUCUACAUCUGAGACUGAAUUAGCCUGCAGGUCACUUGCUUUAGAACUUUGGUGAAAGAGAAAGUGCUACGAACAUUGAUGCCACAUGGGUAUCAACUACCCUCUUGCCAGCCUCUGCCCAAGAGAAGCAGAACUUGCCAACGUUCUGAGCUUCUCUGGAAUCAACUCAUAUCACAGCACUGGCCAACAGUGUCGUUUUCACUAAAGGUUUUGGAGAAUCGAGGGACAGGGAGUGUAUUGUAUGUACAUAUACUCAUUAAAAACAAGGCACACUGUAUUAAAUAGCCCCCAUUAUAUACUUCUUGGCUUCCAUCUUUCCUACACAACUGCUCUGCUUGGGGUGUAGAGAAGAAUGGUGGUGGUCGUGAUUUUUCUCCCCCCUGACCUUCACACAAGCCCCAGGCAGCUGGGUUUAUGUCCUCCCUGUCUCUCUCAGGGAACUCCCACCCCCCUGCAUGAAGCAGAGCAAUCCAGCUCGCCCUGCACCUGAGCCUCUGGGCACUCGGUGCUGGAGCUGCUGAGAGGAGAUAAGUAACUUCUUUCUAGUUGUGGUAGAAACCAGCAGCCAAUGUCCGUAUCUAAUGUUGGGCAUUCACAGCCCAUGUUUUCCAGUUUUCUGCUGUCCAAUUCACGGGCUGCACUUGCCUGAUUUUUUUUUAAUUUUUCUUACAGCAGCAGCUGCAACUACUGCCCUACCCACUCUCCCUUGGCUUUGCCAUGUCUGUCACACUGGGCACGGGCCUGACUUCCGUCAGCACCUGCUCCGGCUGCCGGAGCCCUCAGCCACGCUGCAGGCACUUCCUCUACCAGCAGCCCAUGAAAACAGCAGCAGGUGGGAAGCGUGUGAGGCCUGUGCUCUACGCUGCUUCCCGGAAUUCCUCAGUGGGAUUAAGCUCCAGCUACCCUGGCUGGUAACCUGUGGACAGUGAACCCUUUACUAGCUUUCUUGGCUUUUCCUUCUCACAAGUUUACUGAUGUUUCCCUGAACCACCUCCGACUUACAUUCUAAUGUCCACCUCUAGAUUUCUAGGGGAACCUAACCUGUAAAAUCUCCUCCAGCCAAAUGCCAUGUUAAUAAAAUCAAUUCGGCAUGGAAUUUAGUUAGCCCUCAGUGAUCUUAAAGGCACGCUGCAGAAUCUAGCACCCAGGCACCGCACUUCUUACUACAAAGAAAAACCCACUCCAACAGUAGCCUGGCCUUAAUAAUCGUCCCAGGCUAUUAGAAAAGGGCAUUCUUCUCUCCAAUUUGAAUUUUAAUAAGUCAAGCUGACCCUGUGGAUAUAGGAAGACGCAGUGGGUCAGUGCAGCGCAUUGCUGUGUGCAAUGGGGAAAGUGUGCUAGGUGACCUUAGGAGCAGGAAGAUGGCCCAGCUGCCUGGUAGAGUGAAGGACGGACUUCCCUGGGGAAGCCAAUGCAGAACAGAAUUGUGAAGGGGCAAUUCCCUAGAGAUGUGGAGGAGGAAGGGGAGGUGUGAGAAGACAGAAGACAUUUACUGCAGAAAGAACAGAACAUGCAAAGGAAUGAAGGCAUGAAAUAGCAAGGUGCAUUUAAGAAGCAUGGCAUGAGGGUCCCUCAAAAGGGAGUGAAUGAAGUUGAGUUUUAAAAGAUGGGAGGAGCCAAGUCACAGUUGGGUAAUACCAUGCAAAGAAUUUGGAAUUUACAUUUUAGGCAAGAUGAAGUUAUUGAAAAAUUUUAAAAAGGGCAGUAAUACAAUGAAUGAUUAAAAUCACAAUGAGAUAGCACCUCAUACCU
Molecule: long non-coding RNA, 3981 nt
Organism: Myotis brandtii (Brandt's bat)
Lineage: Eukaryota; Metazoa; Chordata; Mammalia; Chiroptera; Vespertilionidae
Exons: 3
Source: RefSeq, a predicted model, not a curated record